GGGCGUACUCCGGUUUGCUUGUUAUGCAGAAAAGCUGAAAAGUCUUGCGCAGCCCAACCAGGAGACGCCAAAUUGUCGUGGGAAUUAGACACUCGCAGACUCGUCCUCUGAAGAAAAAAAUGGUUUAUUACAGAAAGAUGUGUAAGAUGAAGUGUGUGUCUUUGCACCAUGACUUCAGUCCUGGUGACGUCGUGUUUGCCAAAAUGAAGGGUUAUCCUUUCUGGCCUGCCCGGAUUGCUGUUGGGAAGGCUCCGAGGAAUAAGAUCCCAAUCUUCUUUUAUGGAACACACCAGACAGCUACUCUGCUUCUUAAGGACAUUGUGCAUUACUGGCCCAACAAAGAGAAAUAUGGGAAACCCAUCAAACGAGGAGGUUUUGAACAGGCCUUGUGGGAGAUUGAAAAUGACCCAGGGGUCUUCCUCAAAGGUCAAAAGAAAGCCGAUACAGUGAGGAAGGCGCAGGAGAUGCGGAAGAAGGUGAGGAGUGAGGGAAAGAAGAACACUCAGAAGAAAAAUGAGGUUGACAUGCCCCCUAAUGCUGCGACUCCGAUAAAGAAUGAUAAAACACCUGUGAAAAUCAGCACCACUCCGAAUAAACCGUCCUCCUCAGAGUCGCCGACCAGGAGACUGACACCGGGCCGAGCUAAAGACGGCCAAAACAAGACUGUAACCCGUUCUGAAAAAGCGACUGCUGCCAGUCCGAUGUCUAAAAAAGCAACAACUUCUCCUGGCCGCACAACUCAAACUAAAAGACCGGCUCCCCCCAAAAAGGUUGUCCUGGCCAAAAAAGCCAUCGUUGCUAAGACGAUGAUUGCAGCGAAGAAGAAGGAUGCCGCCGCCAAGAAGAAGAUCCUUACAAAAGCCAAAAUGGUCAAAGCCAAAAAUACAACAAGUACUAAGCGGAAGAUAAAGCUGCCCAGCAAAGUGGAAAAGGACGAGCCAAACCCAGAGACUUGGCUCCAAACCCCAGAGACUCAGCCCCGGAAUUCCAAAGGUUGGGUAAAAGUCACAGAUCGACAGUUAAAGAACCCUGAGAGUCGGCCCCGGAACGCCAAGGGUUGGGUAAAAGUCCCAGAUCUACAGUUAAAGAACCCUGAGAGUCAGCCCCGGAAUGCCAAAGGUUGGGUAAAAGUCCCAAAUCUACAGUUAAAGAACCCUGAGAAUCAGCCCCGGAACACCAAAGGUUGGGUGAAAGUCACAAGUCCACAGUUAAAGAACUCUGAGACUCGGCCCCGGAUCUGCAAGGGUUGGGUGAAAGUCACAGAUCAACAGUUAAAGAACCCAGAGACUCUACCCCGGAGGGUCAUGGGUUGGGUGAAGGUCACAGAUUCACAGUUAAAGAACCCUAAGACUCAGCCCCAAACCCCAGAGACCAGGCCCCAGAAUUCCACGGGUUUGAUAAAGGUCACAGAUCCACAGCUACAGAAUGCUGAGAUUCAGCUCCAAGCUCCAGAGACUGGGUUCCAGACCCCAGAUACUCAGCUCCAAACUGCUGAGACUCGGCCACGUAGACCAGAGAGUCAGCUACGGAAUACCAAGGCUUUAGUGAAGGUCACAGAGCCACAGCUGCAGACCCGACUCAGCACCCCAGAAACUUGGCUCCAGAAUCCCAAGACUUGCUUGAAGGUCACAGAGUCAUGGCUAAGGGUCCAGGAGACCCAACUCCAAACCCCAUGGACCCAACUAAAAACCCAGGAUACUCAGCCUAGGGUCACAGAGACUCCACUUCAAACCCCCGAGCCACAGCUCAGAACUCCGGAGCCACAGCUCCGGAACCGAGACACUCAGCUCCUGAACCCCAAGACUUGGCUGAGGGUCACAGUGCCACGGCUCCGGAGCCCUGAGACUCUACUCCAGUGCUCUGAGACUCGCCUCCGCAACCCUGAGAUUCCGCUUCGAAACCUCAAUGUCUCAGCCUUAUGUAGCAAAUUCUCAGCUACCGAACCCCAAGAUGCAACUCCAGUGGAACCCCAAGAGCCUGUUCCAGGUGAUCCCAAAGUUGGUGCUUCGGUUGAACCUCAAGGCACUGCUGUAGCUGAAUCCCAAAAUUCUGCACCAGUUGAACCCCAAGGUGCUGCUCUGAUUGAGGUACCAAAGAGAAAACGGGAAGAAGAAGGUGAGGGAAAAGGGAGAGUACUGAGACGGAGGACAGAAGAGCAGAAGGAUAGAGGGGAAAAGGGACAGAAGGAAGAGACUGAAAGGAAACAGCCAGAGGAUGAAUGGAAGGAUAGAGCGGGCCGAAGGAAGAAGAAGGAGGAAAUUAUCCCAGCCAUCACUGACACUGUUUCCAGCCCUACAGCUUCGAGAAGGAAGCGACAGGAAGAGAAACUCCACCCCUCAGAGCCAGAAAACAGCGAGACGGGAAAGCGAAAAAGGCCAGAGGCGGACGAGGGAGGACAGAGGGUGCUGAGACGAAGAACCGAAAAGCAGAAGGGAAAGAUGGAUACAGAGGAAGAAACAGAGAAGAAGCAACCAGAGGUUGAGCAGAACAAUGGAGAGAAGGUGGAUGGAAAGGAGUACAAGAGAGAGAAGAGGAAGAGGGAGGAGGAGGGGAAGAAGAAGAAGAAGAAGAAGAAGAAGCAGCAGCAGCAGAGGAACGAAGAUGCAGCUGAGAUGGUGAUGGAGAAGAAGGCAGAGGAGGAGACUGAUAAGAAGAAGCGUGAGGAGGAGGCAAGGGAGAAGAAGGAAGGAGAGGAGGAGAAGAGGGAGAAGACGAAAGAGGAGGAAUUGAGGGAGAGUAAGAGGGAAGAGGAGGAGAUGGAGAAGAAAAAAGGGGAUGAGGCAAGGGAGAAGCAGAGAGAGGUGGAGGAGGCGAGGGAUAAGAAAAAGAGAGAGGAGGAGGAGGCGAGGGAUAAGAAAAAGAGAGAGGAGGAGGAGGUGAGGGAUAAGAAAAAGAGAGAGGAGGAGGAGGCGAGGGAAAAGAAAAAGAGAGAGGAGGAGGCGAGGGAAAAGAAAAAGAGAGAGGAGGAGGCGAGGGAAAAGAAAAAGAGAGAGGAGGAGGCGAGGGAAAAGAAAAAGAGAGAGGAGGAGGCGAGGGAAAAGAAAAAGAGAGAGGAGGAGGCGAGGGAAAAGAAAAAGAGAGAGGAGGAGGCGAGGGAAAAGAAAAAGAGAGAGGAGGAGGAGGCGGCGAGGGAAAAGAAAAAGAGAGAGGAGGAGGAGGCGAGGGAAAAGAAAAAGAGAGAGGAGGAGGAGGCGAGGGAAAAGAAAAAGAGAGAGGAGGAGGCGAGGGAAAAGAAAAAGAGAGAGGAGGAGGAGGCGAAGAAGGAGAGAGAGGAGGAGGAGGCGAAGAAGGAGAGAGAGGAGGAGGAGGCGAGGAAGGAGAGGGGGGAGGAGGAGGAGGCGGCGAGGAAGAAGAAGAGAGAGGAGGAGGAGGCGAGGGAGAAGAAGGAGAGAGAGGAGGAGGUGAGGAAGGAGAGAGAGGAGGAGGAGGCGAGGGAGAAGAAGGAGAGAGAGGAGGAGGCGAGGAAGGAGAGAGAGGAGGAGGCGAGGAAGAAGAAGGAGAGAAAGGAGGCGAGGAAGAAGGAGAGGGAGGAGGAGGCGAGGAAGAAGAAGAGAGAGGAGGAGGAGGCGAGGGAGAAGAAGGAGAGAGAGGAGGAGGAGGCGAGGAAGAAGAAGAGAGAAGAGACUGAGAAAAAGAAAGAGGAGGAGGCUAGGGAGAAGAAGAGAGAGGUGAAAGCGAGGGAGAAGAGGCAGCUGGACGACAAGCAGAGGAGCAAAGAUUCAGGAGAGGAGGAGAAAGAAGAGGAGAAGAAGGAAGAGGAGGUGGAGUCUGCAAAACAGAAAGACUUGGAGGAUGAAAAGAAGACUCAAAGGAGUAGAGUGUUGGCGGAGAGGAGGAUGAGUGUGUUGAAGUCUCUUCAGGGGUUGGUCACGUCCACCAGAAGCAGAACGCAGAGACAAGGCACAAACCGAGCGGAGAAGGACGACAAGCGCAACGGAGAGGACGGAAAGGAAGGGAUGGAGAGAGAGAGGAGAGGAAAGACUGAGCAGAUGGAGGAGCUGAGUAAACAUAAAGGAGAAGAGGACAGAGUGGACAAACGAAGAGCUCCUGCUCUAUCAGUCACAGACUCUCUGCUGUACAGACUGCAUGGUGAUAUCAGGAUCUCCAUGACCCUCGAAAAGCCUGAUGUGAAUAAGUGUUUGUCGGCGUUGGAUGAGUUGAGUUCGGUGUCUGUUUCCUCGCGGCACAUUCAGAACCACAGCGAGCUCAUUGACACACUCCGCAAGAUGCGGUGGUUCCGGGGCAGUGAGGCGAUCAUGUUUAAAGCGUCAAUGCUGUACUACCGCUUUAAGAACAUUUAUCUGAUCGGAGAACCUGAGGACACACUCAGUCCCGAGUACAUCCACUCUCUGCAGGAGGAAAGAGAGAGACAGGAGGAGCAACACACACCUGAGACUGCUGCAGUGGAGGAGAACCAUACACACCCCAGCAAUCUCAUCCAGCACAGCUAAAGCGUUCCAGAACCUGAUGAGAAAAAAAGAGUUCCCCUGCCCCCACCCAAACCCUUGCGCUACAGAACCCUAUGAGGAAUGUUCCGGAAACCCUGUGAAGUUCCCACUAAAAAACAGAAGGCUCUCGGUAUCCCACGAGGAAAGUAAUGAGUUCUGUAACUCUGUGUAGAACCAUAAGAGUACUCCAGUACCCUUCAGUUUUAGAAUGAAGUGUGAAGUGAACGAAUAGUUCCUGAACUCCUCUACAAUUCCGGAACCCUGUGAGAAAACGAGAGCUCCCAGAACCCACCUGAAGAACCAAAAGAGUUCUGGAACCCUGCCGAGGAAACAGGAGUCAUUUGUGAAAUGAUUCUGCAGCAGAGAUGAGCUGAAACACACACACUCACACACACACACACACACACACACACACACACACACACACACACACACACGUCUGGAGUUCUUUAUGAUGUCCAGAUGUUAAUUGGUGCUCCGUGAUGAUCAACGAUAAGCUUAGUAUCUCUCUCUCUCUCACUCACACUCACACACACACACACACACACACACACUUGUAUUACACACUUCUCCUACCUGUUCUGAGAAGAUGAAAGGAAUAGUUCAUGCAGAAUGCUAACCUGCUAACAGUGACCUGAUUAGCAUUAUGCACACCGAGACAUGCUAAUGAAUGACCAGCCUCCUUUCACUGUUAGCAGUGUUAGCAUGCUUGCUGGAGUUAUUCCUCUUUGAUUAUAAUAUAAUUAUAAUAAUCUGCAAUGCUGUUGUAUGUUCUGGUUUCUACAUGUCCACACGUCUGCAGGGACGCACUCGAAGCCGUGCUCCAGACAGCUGGACUGCGGCUGUCUCAUUUACAGCAUUAAGGGCACUUUCGUUAAGGGGAAGCCCGUGUUUUGUGUUUUAGACUAUCAUCGUGUACCUUGUUUUAAUCUUAAAUGUGCUUUAUAUUUAAUUCUGCUGCACUGUAAAGUCACCACUACUGAGUGGACACACACGCACACGUGCGCGCACUGUCUGGAUAUAUCCUGAGAUUACCACACUAACAUUUCAUCAGCAACAUUAACACAUUCUACUGAGCUAAAAUGAUAGAAACGUCCUGCUCUCACUUCUCUAUGUCACCAGAAACAUCAGAGGAUGGAUGGAGAGAGAGAUGGACAGACAGGGGGAGAGACAGACUGAUGGAGAGAGAGAGACGGGUGGAUAGAGGACUGGCAGACAACUAAGCAAAUAGAAUGACAAAAAGACAUACAGACAAAGAUCGAAAGAUAGACAGACAGUUAAUCAAAUACAUACAGUAGAUUGACUGAUGGACAGGUUGAUAGAUUAUUAGACAGACAGGUCUUCAGACAGACAGGUAGGUUGAUGGAUUGACAGACAGACAGGUAGCUCCUCCUGACUGAAACACACAGGACAUUCUCUCUGAAUUAUCUGAUGUAUUGCUUAACUGAUUAUCAGCACAGGCGGUUACCACGGAAACAGUACAGCUCAACUCACACUGCAGGUUCUUUCCUGUGAUCUCUCUCUCACACACACACAAAGCAUUUUCUGUGUAAAUGUAUGACUGUUACUGUUGAAGUUUUAGUCUCACUUUAUAGCAUAUAUUUUCAUCUUAUUCCUGGAGUUUUUAUUUAAUUUGAUGUAUUUUUUUAUAACACGUUGUGCAUUACAGAGAGACCGAUCUGAUCUCACACACUGCACCACUACAGUGACUGCUUUUCUUUUCUUUUCUUUUCUUUCUCAUGUUUACCCUGCAGUGUGUUAUUAAUUACAUGUGUAACGGAUGACGCGUCCCACCCCCAGCCUUGAUAAAGUGUAUAUUAAACAUGACUCAUAUUAAAGAUACACACCUUUAUAAGCAUGCUAUGUUCCAAUAAUGAUUAUGGAUAUGAAUAAUGAAAUGAACUUGUGUGUGUGUGUGUGUGUAUGUGAGAGAGAGAGAGAGACAGCGAACGAGUGGGAGUGUUCUAGAAAUGUAAAGGUGUAUUAUGUAAGAUUAAUGGUUAAGUGGGUUAUGCGUUUGUUUAUAUUCACAUUUAUUUACAUUUAUUCAUUUAGCAGAGACUUUUAUCCAAAGUGACUUACAAGUGAGGAAAUACAAGCAAAGUGAUAUAUCAAGCAGAGAACAAUACAAGCAGUGCUACUGUACAAGAUCCAUUAAUUGAGUUCUAGAGGAGCAAAGUGCACAGUGUAGAGGUGUGAGUGCCAGAAUAAUUUAUUAUUAUUAUUAUUAUUAUUAUUAAGAGGAUAAUGUGGGGUUGGUGUUUUAGGGGUUGGUUAGGUGUUCAGGGAAGAGGUGGGUCUUUAGCCAUUUUUUGAAAAUAAUGACCGAUUGUGCAGACCGGAUUGAGGUUGGAAGUUCAUUCCACCCCUUCGGGAUAGUUAGUGUGGAGGUUCUGGAAAGGGACGUUGAGCCACGCUGAGUAGGCGCUACUAAACGUCAGGUCAUUAAUCAAUCGCAGAUUGUGUGAGGGAACGUAAGCCUUCAGGAGAGGGUUGAGGUAGGGAGGUGCUGAUCCAGACAAGGUUUUGUACGUGAGCACACACACACACUUAUUUGUACAAGUAAGAAAUAAAAAAUAUAUAUAUUAUAAUAUAUAUAUAUAUAUUGUUGCACCUUUAAGACACGAAUGUCAGAAUGUGAGAUUUAUAAACUGCUCUAAAUACACCGAUUAAUCAACUCCCACGUGUGUUUAUUCUGAAUCAUCCAUACACACCUACACAUUGCUUUAUACUCUGGAAAGUGCGUUUUUACGGGAUUUUAAGAUUGUUGUGUAAAUAGUCGUGUGUGUGUGUCACAGUGUAAAUCCACAUUGUUUCUGCUCAUUGUGAAUAAAACUUUUUUCUUUACUGUCAA
This is an RNA transcript of Ictalurus furcatus (blue catfish), 7302 nucleotides long. It is a transcript of the gene named PC4 and SFRS1 interacting protein 1b, with no coding region annotated. NCBI's taxonomy places the organism in Eukaryota, Metazoa, Chordata, Actinopteri, Siluriformes, Ictaluridae. The transcript has 15 exons. The record is from RefSeq and is a predicted model, not a curated record.